CCGCAGCAGCUGCUGCUGAUGAUUUGAGAGAUUCGUAUUGGGAAUUGUAUCUUUCAGGUGGACAGAAGACCGUGUCUAACAACUGGCUUUACUUCAAGUCAUCGAGAAAGUUGGCAGAAACAGAAAUCAUCACUGCAAGUUGCGCCAUGUUAAAGCAUUUUUCACGUUACUCAAAACUGUCGAGAACGGUCGGUUGUUUUUUCAUUUCUAACUUUGAAGAAAAACAGCUCAACGAGGGUAGAGUGGCUUGGCGAAGCAUGUACACUCUUUAUUCGGCAACCUGGAUUACUUUGAUGUUAUUUUUCGAAGUGACAACAGUAUAUGAAAGAUUUCGCCAGCUGGAUUUCAAAACUGCGUUUACCGCUAACGUGCUGGUCACCGUCCGUAUGUGCGUUAUUUUGGAAAGUGCGAUUAAUUUCUCCUGCAUGGUCUUCGGUUCCUUCAGGCUUCUCGAGUUUUUUCGCGAGGCGGCACUGUUUGAGAGGUCUGCUGGCGUUUCCUACCAAGCUCUAAAACAUCUGCCUAGAAAAUCAUGGCCACGAAUAUUCAUAAAACUAAUGAUUGUCACCUCAUUCGUGAUUAGUUUUGGUGGUUCUGUCACCAGAGCCAUAGAGAUAUUUUUGGAAAGCGUCCAGUAUAAUUGGACUUACGUGCUGAUAGUCCCCCGAAUAUUGUCCCAGUUGGUGUUCUUCUUUUACGAGACGAGCAUGUACAUUUUUUUGAGCAUUGCUUCCGAAAUACUGGUUUCUUACACAAAGUUUCAGGGUUUGGCUUUGCUAAAAUGCCAGAAGAGCGCACAUCUCGCCGCUUCCGACGAGCAGGUCCUGUCGAUCGAGGCGAUACGCCGGAAUUUAUACAAAAUUAGAAAGCUGAAGAAGCACGUUAACGCUGUCUGGGCGCCGGCGAUUCUGGCGUUUUCGCUGUCUUCUCUUUGGGUGAUUUGCACGACGUUGUAUUGUCUGUUUUCCGGGCAUGAUAACACUUUGGACCUGUGGCUUGGACUGGCUUAUGGAGUCAGCUGCUCAUUCAGGCUUCUCGACUUGGCCAUUAUCAGUGAUGACUUGUGCAGUGAGGCUCAAGACAUCAAGCGCAUGACUAAGACUGCAAGAAAUAUUUAUGUGGCAGAUGCCCAUGUGUCUCAGAUCCAGUAUCUGCAUGACAGCAUCGACCCACCAUCAAUGAGACUCACGGGGGCCAGCUUCUUCUGCGUUGGCAGGAGACUUCUUGUUGCG
This is a non-coding RNA of Dermacentor albipictus, 1232 nucleotides long. Lineage: Eukaryota; Metazoa; Arthropoda; Arachnida; Ixodida; Ixodidae. The record is from RefSeq and is a predicted model, not a curated record.